This 400-nucleotide ribosomal RNA is filed under the name uncultured bacterium. Its description in RNAcentral is "bacterial SSU rRNA". It matches the Rfam family "Bacterial small subunit ribosomal RNA", at positions 355 to 752 of the family's 1533-position model. The record is from RNAcentral.
UAAGGAAUAUUGGGCAAUGGAGGCAACUCUGACCCAGCCAUGCCGCGUGAAGGAUGACUGCCCUAUGGGUUGUAAACUUCUUUUGUAUGGGAAUAAACCUCGGUACGUGUACCGAGCUGAAUGUACCAUAAGAAUAAGCAUCGGCUAACUCCGUGCCAGCAGCCGCGGUAAUACGGAGGAUGCAAGCGUUAUCCGGAUUUAUUGGGUUUAAAGGGUGCGUAGGCGGGAUUGUAAGUCAGUGGUGAAAUCCUUCAGCUCAACUGAAGAACUGCCAUUGAUACUGCAGACCUAGAGUACAUUUGAUGUGGGCGGAAUGUGUCAUGUAGCGGUGAAAUGCUUAGAGAUGACACAGAACACCAAUUGCGAAGGCAGCUCACAAAACUGUAACUGACGCUGAGGC